Molecule: long non-coding RNA, 1800 nt
Organism: Chenopodium quinoa (quinoa)
Lineage: Eukaryota; Viridiplantae; Streptophyta; Magnoliopsida; Caryophyllales; Amaranthaceae
Exons: 4
Source: RefSeq, a predicted model, not a curated record
UAUAUGUAAAACAAUUAUUUUAGGCCCGUGAGCCCGCGGGCAAGCCCGGCCCGUUAAUAGAGCGGGCUUGGACAAUUUAUCAAGCUCGCAUAAAAUGGCUCGGGUUAGCUACAAUAAGCCCGUUGGACAAAAAAUAAAGUAUAGGCCCGGCCCGUUUCCCGUCCAAGCCCGCAAACGAUCACCUCAUAUAUAUAUAUGGAAGUAGGAUCAUAUGCGAACUACCUCCAAUAAUGCGAACUGAGAACUAAUCCGAGCCGUCUAUUGCGUUAGAUCUGACUGUCUACACUUCACCCGCCUCAUUAAGGGCAAAAUUGUAAAUUUUCACUUUGAAUGACUAGAUUCAAUUGAUUUGAUUUCCAUUUUUACUUUCUCUCUCUCAUUUCAUUUUCUCUCUCUUCCUCUGAAUUCUCUCUAGUUCUAUCUAUCUCAUCCUUUGAAUUUUCUGCAUUCUUAUCGUCGUUGGAUUUGCUGUUCUUCUUCGUUUUUUUUUCAUUGCAAAUUGAUACGAAACAAAUAGUAGAAGCGGAAAGGAUCUCAGUUGACCAUGUUUCACAUUUAGAGCCAGCUGAGGUGAAUCUGCCGCUACCCAAUGUGAGCUCAUCUGCCUAGUUUCUCAGCGGUUGUCUCAAGUAGCCAAGAUGAAAAUGGCUUAGGGUUUCAAGCAUAGGUGCUGGAGCAGGAGCGGACUUGGAUUUAUGAGGCUCGCAUGCUGGAGCAGGAGCUGGAGCAAGAGCAGGCUUAGGUUUGUCAGGUUGGGCAGUUGAGGGAGGGGCAGGCUUGGAUGGAGGCUUGAUCUCGAUGCUCUUAAUGGAUUUGUCAGCUUUGCAGCAAAGCUUGUUUAUGAUCUUGUCUGGACUGCAGCAAACCACAGUGAUUGUCACCGUGUUAUUCUUUUGAGUUCUUUGCUCGGAAGUUCUUAGAGUUGAGCGAAACGGGAUGCUGCUAUGAACAAGAGUGCAGUCUACAUACGUACUGAUCAUUGGAUCAAGGGAUCUGUGUAUAAGGGAAAAUAGUUUCCCUAAUAGUAUACAGUUUCAAGGACCUGCAGGCAGCGACAGCAAAUUGUAGUACUAAUCAUUGGAUUAAGGGAUCAAUGUAUAAGGGAAUUGUAAAUGGCAAUCAGGUGGUAAUCAAAAAGAUGGAUGGAGAUGUCAGCAAAGAGAUUAAUGUACUAAACAAGAUCAACCGUUUAAAUCUCAUUAGAUUGUAGGGGGUUUGCUUUUAGGAUGGAAUUGGUACUAUGUCUAUGAAUAUGCAGGUACUAUGUCUAUGUCUAUGAAUACGGUUGUUAGCAGAUGCAUUUUUUUAUGAUUAAGCUUUUCUUAUUUACUUUUGAGUAUAUUAUAUUUACUUUUGUUUUAUAAAAAAAAUAAAAACUAUUAAUUGUGUUAACGAAAUAUUCUUACUCUAUAAUAGCCUACUAGCUCAAUAGGUAGAGCAUUGUGCAAGUGCACAAAAAGAUGUGGGUUCGAAUCCCACGUAGGUUUAUGUGUGUAAUCUCAAGAUUAGAAUUCCUAAUGGUUUAUUAUAUUUUAUUUUUUUUUGUUAACUUUUGAUAUAGUUUUAUUUACUUUUAAUUUGAAAACUUCUAUGUCAUAUUGAACUCAAUAUAUUUGUUUCUUUUAAUAAUUUGACUCGCCUUGUAAGGAUAUGAAAGUCAAUGACUCGGAGUUUUUGUGCUAUAAUAAUGUUCCCAUAGUCAUUUCUCAUUUCAAGAUAUUUAUUAUUCAUAUACUUAAGAGCUAAUUUGAUUUACUUCAAUGAUACCUUGGUUUACUUUUUAGCAUUAUUUAUUUACUU